GCCCGCAUAGCUCAAUGGUAGAGCGCGUCACUAGUAAUGACGAGGUUGCCGGUUCGAUUCCGUCUGUGGGCA
RNAcentral lists this transfer RNA (72 nucleotides) under Ascocoryne sarcoides NRRL 50072. RNAcentral's name for it is "tRNA-Thr (AGT) (tRNA-Thr-AGT-1-1)". It matches the Rfam family "tRNA". Rfam says of the family: Transfer RNA (tRNA) molecules are approximately 80 nucleotides in length. The record is from RNAcentral. Lineage: Eukaryota; Fungi; Ascomycota; Leotiomycetes; Helotiales; Gelatinodiscaceae. RNAcentral also lists the same sequence under 2 other names.